RNAcentral lists this ribosomal RNA (331 nucleotides) under uncultured archaeon. Its description in RNAcentral is "bacterial SSU rRNA". It matches the Rfam family "Archaeal small subunit ribosomal RNA", at positions 129 to 442 of the family's 1478-position model. The record is from RNAcentral.
ACCCCGGGAAACUGGGGCUAAUACCCGGUAGAUUACGAAGCCUGGAAUGGUUUCUAGUCGAAAAGGCGUUGAAACCAUGCUUUUCGACGUCGCCUAAGGAUGGGGCCGCACCUGAUCAGGUUGUUGGUGGGGUAACGGCUCACCAAGCCUAUAACCGGUACGGGCCGUGAGAGCGGGAGCCCGGAGAUGGGCACUGAGACAAGGGCCCAGGCCCUACUGGGCGCAUCAGUCGCGAAAACUCCGCAAUGCGCGAAAGCGUGACGGGGCUACCCCGAGUGCCGUCCGCUGAGGAUGGCUUUUCCCCUGUGUAAUGAGCCGAGGGAAUAAGGAG